UGCCAGACUCCUACGGGAGGCAGCAGUGGGGGAUAUUGCGCAAUGGCGGAAACUCUGACGCAGUGACGCCGCGUAUAGGAAGAAGGUUUUCGGAUUGUAAACUAUUGUCAUUAGGGAAGAAAAAAGACAGUACCUAAGGAGGAAGCUCCGGCUAACUACGUGCCAGCAGCCGCGGUAAUACGUAGGGAGCGAGCGUUAUCCGGAAUUAUUGGGUGUAAAGGGUGCGUAGACGGGAAAAUAAGUUAGUUGUGAAAUCCCUCGGCUCAACUGAGGAACUGCAACUAAAACUGUAUUUCUUGAGUGCAGGAGAGGAAAGUGGAAUUCCUAGUGUAGCGGUGAAAUGCGUAGAUAUUAGGAGGAACACCAGUGGCGAAGGCGACUUUCUGGACUGCAACUGACGUUGAGGCACGAAAGUGUGGGGAGCAAACAGGAUUAGAUACCCGUGUACA
This 449-nucleotide ribosomal RNA is filed under the name uncultured bacterium. RNAcentral describes it as "bacterial SSU rRNA". It matches the Rfam family "Bacterial small subunit ribosomal RNA", at positions 329 to 794 of the family's 1533-position model. The record is from RNAcentral.